Molecule: ribosomal RNA, 788 nt
Filed under: uncultured Bacillota bacterium
Lineage: Bacteria; Bacillati; Bacillota
Description: bacterial SSU rRNA
Rfam family: Bacterial small subunit ribosomal RNA
Source: RNAcentral
GGAUCCAGACUUUGAUUCUGGCUCAGGACGAACGCUGGCGGCGCGCCUAACACAUGCAAGUCGAACGAGCGAGAGAGAGCUUGCUUUCUCGAGCGAGUGGCGAACGGGUGAGUAACGCGUGAGGAACCUGCCUCAAAGAGGGGGACAACAGUUGGAAACGACUGCUAAUACCGCAUAAGCCCACGACCCGGCAUCGGGUUGAGGGAAAAGGAGUGAUCCGCUUUGAGAUGGCCUCGCGUCCGAUUAGCUAGUUGGUGAGGUAAUGGCCCACCAAGGCGACGAUCGGUAGCCGGACUGAGAGGUUGAACGGCCACAUUGGGACUGAGACACGGCCAGACUCCUACGGGAGGCAGCAGUGGGGAAUAUUGCACAAUGGGGGAAACCCUGAUGCAGCGACGCCGCGUGGAGGAAGAAGGUCUUCGGAUUGUAAACUCCUGUUGUUGGGGAAGAUAAUGACGGUACCCAACAAGGAAGUGACGGCUAACUACGUGCCAGCAGCCGCGGUAAAACGUAGGUCACAAGCGUUGUCCGGAAUUACUGGGUGUAAAGGGAGCGCAGGCGGGAAGACAAGUUGGAAGUGAAAUCCAUGGGCUCAACCCAUGAACUGCUUUCAAAACUGUUUUUCUUGAGUAGUGCAGAGGUAGGCGGAAUUCCCGGUGUAGCGGUGGAAUGCGUAGAUAUCGGGAGGAACACCAGUGGCGAAGGCGGCCUACUGGGCACCAACUGACGCUGAGGCUCGAAAGUGUGGGUAGCAAACAGGAUUAGAUACCCUGGUAGUCCACACCGUA